This 204-nucleotide long non-coding RNA is filed under the name Mytilus galloprovincialis (Mediterranean mussel). The record is from RNAcentral. Lineage: Eukaryota; Metazoa; Mollusca; Bivalvia; Mytilida; Mytilidae.
GUUCAGUAUAGUAAAAUCUACAAACACAUCACCAUCAUCAAAACACAAUUUUGUCAUGAAUUCAUCUAUGUCCUUUGUUUAAUACAUGUAUGCACAUAGACCAAGGUGAGCGACACAGGCUCUUAAGAGUCUCUAGUUAAUCAAAAUACUUCCUUUAAAUUAUUAGUGUUAGUAUUACUUAAAAUGCAGAAGUAUUUCGGAUCU